GGGGAUUCCCAAGACCUCCACGUUUUUCGAAGCGGCCGAAGUUCUGAUUAACUUAUUUGGUGGGGUAAAGGGCUUCCCAAGGGGAACGAUCCAGUAGCGGGUUUUGGAAGGGAUGAUCCCGCCAACAUGGGGAUUGAGACACGGCCCCAGAUUCCUUACGGGAGGCAGGCAGUGGGGAAUUUUGGCCAAUGGGGGCAACCCUGAUCCAGCCAUUCCGCGUGAGUGAAGAAGGCCUUCGGGGUUGUAAAGCUCUUUCAGCUGGAACGAAACGGUACGCUCUAACAUAGCGUGCUAAUGACGGUACCAGCAGAAGAAGCACCGGCUAACUACGUGCCAGCAGCCGCGGUAAUACGUAGGGUGCGAGCGUUAAUCGGAAUUACUGGGCGUAAAGCGUGCGCAGGCGGAUUGUUAAGCAAGAUGUGAAAUCCCCGGGCUUAACCUGGGAAUGGCAUUUUGAACUGGCAGUCUAGAGUGCGUCAGAGGGGGGUGGAAUUCCACGUGUAGCAGUGAAAUGCGUAGAUAUGUGGAGGAACACCAAUGGCGAAGGCAGCCCCCUGGGAUGACACUGACGCUCAUGUACGAAAGCGUGGGUAGCAAACAGGAUUAGAUACCCUGGUAGUCCACGCCCUAAACGAUGUCAACUGGUUGUUGGGGGAGUGAAAUCCCUUAGUAACGAAGCUAACGCGUGAAGUUGACCGCCUGGGGAGUACGGUCGCAAGAUUAAAACUCAAAGGAAUUGACGGGGACCCGCACAAGCGGUGGAUGAUGUGGAUUAAUUCGAUGCAACGCGAAAAACCUUACCUACCCUUGACAUGUCCGGAAUCCUGCAGAGAUGCGGGAGUGCCCGAAAGGGAAUCGGAACACAGGUGCUGCAUGGCUGUCGUCAGCUCGUGUCGUGAGAUGUUGGGUUAAGUCCCGCAACGAGCGCAACCCUUAUCAUUAGUUGCUACGCAAGGGCACUCUAAUGAGACUGCCGGUGACAAACCGGAGGAAGGUGGGGAUGACGUCAAGUCCUCAUGGCCCUUAUGGGUAGGGCUUCACACGUCAUACAGUGGUCGGUACAGAGGGUUGCCAGGCCGCGAGGUGGAGCCAAUCCCAGAAAGCCGAUCGUAGUCCGGAUUGUUCUCUGCAACUCGAGAGCAUGAAGUCGGAAUCGCUAGUAAUCGCGGAUCAGCAUGUCGCGGUGAAUACGUUCCCGGGUCUUGUACACACCGCCCGUCACACCAUGGGAGUGGAAUCUGCCAGAAGUAGGUAGCCUAACCGCAAGGAGGGCGCUUACCACGGUGGGUUUCAUGACUGGGGUGAAGUCUAGGCGGAUAUACAAUUCACACAGAAAACAAGCUUGCAUG
Molecule: ribosomal RNA, 1349 nt
Filed under: uncultured Thiobacillus sp.
Lineage: Bacteria; Pseudomonadati; Pseudomonadota; Betaproteobacteria; Nitrosomonadales; Thiobacillaceae
Description: bacterial SSU rRNA
Rfam family: Bacterial small subunit ribosomal RNA
Source: RNAcentral